AUGUUGUUUGCUCAGUCUGGUCAUGUUUCUACUGUCAAGUAUUUUCUUGAUCAUGGUGGUGAUCUCGUGAAAGGAGAUAACAAAGGACAGACAGUUCUCCACCAUGCUAUGUGUAUAGGAUGCUGCAAUGUGACAGAGUUCCUCCUGUCAAAAGGACUGCCUGUUGACAUAGACCGUGGCCAUGGAACACCACUCUACAUGGCUGCUUUAAAUGAGCAGGAUAAGACAGUGAAGAUUUUGUUGGACUACCACGCAAAUCCUAACAUCAUUAUCAACGGUGCUAACAGUCUCCUUAUGAGUGCUCUUGUUUACCGUUCAUUGAAGUGCAUGAAGCUACUCAUUAAGGCUGGUGCCGAUGUUGAUUGCAAGGGUUCCAUUGCGACUCCUUUAGUGCUCGCUACGAUGCUAGGAGGUUAUACCAACUACAUUAAGCUCUUAUUGAAGGCUGGAGUAGAUCCUAAUAUUCCCGAUGAUUUGGGUAGGUUGCCAGUAGAGCUUGCUGCGAUAUGUGAUUACAUGGAAGAGGUUGAAAUGUUGUUUCCUGUGACUUCUCCAAUUCCAAAUGUCCCAAACUGGAGUAUUGAAGGAGUAAUUUCUCAUGCAAAGAUUGAAGAAAAGAAGUCAAUUGAGCAACGACACCUUGAAAGAAGAAAAAGUUUGUUCAAGUCACAUGCUGAUAAGGCAUUCAAGCAGAAGGACUAUAAGAUGGCAACAAAGUGGUCAAAAGUGGCAAUAGAGCAUACAGAGAGUGUAACACUGUAUGCAAACAGGAGUCUUUGCAAACUGCUCAUGGAUGAUGGUGAAGGUGCUUUGUCAGAUGCUCUCAUGUGCAGAAUGCUGCGACCUGAUUGGGCAAAAGCUUGCUACCGUCAAGGUGCAGCUCACAUGCUACUCAAGGAGUAUAAACAAGCCUGUGAUGCUCUCUUGGACGCACAAAAUUUGGAUCCUGGGAAUGCCAAAAUUGAGGGUGAACUACGAUAA
This 981-nucleotide ribosomal RNA is filed under the name Triticum aestivum (bread wheat). RNAcentral describes it as "partial small subunit ribosomal RNA". Lineage: Eukaryota; Viridiplantae; Streptophyta; Magnoliopsida; Poales; Poaceae. The record is from RNAcentral.